RNAcentral lists this long non-coding RNA (960 nucleotides) under Coturnix japonica (Japanese quail). RNAcentral's name for it is "lncRNA (ENSCJPG00005010815.1)". Lineage: Eukaryota; Metazoa; Chordata; Aves; Galliformes; Phasianidae. The record is from RNAcentral.
AUGUUUUUUUUUUGGUUUGUUUGUUUUUUUUAUAGAAAGCCCAAAAGCGAAGCGUCCCUUCCUCCAGGUAUGUAUAUAAGUUACUGUACUGUGUGGGAGGGUCACGAUCUCGCUAGGUGCAGAAGAUUCCCCGGGAUUAACCCCUCCUCUCCCUUCCCCUCCUGCAACUUGUUGAGGAUGGCACCGUGCGCGCACGCGGAGCGGCACACGGCCGCACGCACACACACGCGGAGCGCGGCGCCGGAGCGGUCCGGUGCCCCCCGACGGCGCGGUGAUUGGCCGCGCUGCUCGUGGAGAAGGGGACGUCUCAAGUCGAAGUCACGAUUUCUCCUCAGUUUGGAACCAUCUGUGACUGGAGCCAUGACGCAGCCAGAGCACAUUACUCACUUUUACAGUCACGACUUGGAAAUCCGUGCAGUUUCCAACCAAAAUUACACCGCCACCAUUGAAUUAUUUAAUAGGAUCCAGUUAAGGAGCCGCCGUUUCCGAGUUCCGACGAUUGGCUGCACGUGCCGUAAGGGCUUUCUUUCCUUUCAACCCCAACCAAACAAACCGGGGACGGGUCCGUUUGUAAAUACGACCACGCGCGCUCGGGGAAGGAACGGUCCGGUUCCCGCAUUCGGGGCGUCCGUGGGCGGAGUGCCGCUGUGCGGCUCCGCGGGGCUCGGAGCGAGGAGAGGCGCUUUGUGUGCCCGCUGCCGCGGCCGCAGCGCUGCAUUGUCUGCAGGAUCCGCCGGCGGUGCCGGGCUUUGUGCGGGCUCUGGCUGCGGCGGAGCCCCCUCCCUUCUCGGCGGCUCCGGAGCGGUGCCGCGGUGCGGGGCUGCCCGGGGUGCCGGCCGUGCCUGCCCCGCCGCGGGGCUGCGGCGCCGUGACCCUGCGGCUCGGCCCCUCGCCUCUCUUUCGGCCGUUCCCCCGCCUCGGAUCUGUCUGCCUAAGGACGCGAAGGACGGGCGACAAUAA